UAUAGGAUAUGCGUUAAACUCUCCGGAACACUUGCCAAACCCUAAAUGAAUCCCUAAAACCCACUAAAUUAAACUUUUUGCAAGGGAUUUGCAAGGGUUUCAUCGCAAAAGCCUCGCAAUAUUGCAAGGAACUUGCGAGAACACUUCGAAACCCCUGUCUAAACCUCAAACGAAACCUAAAGACAUUAAAAAAAGAUUUUGCAACGGAUUUGCGAUGAAACACGAUAAGUCUCUCGCAAAACACUUGCAAUUUUGCAAGGGAUAACCGUUGCAAUUCGCUUGCAAAUUGCAAGGAUUUUGUGACGGAAAUUAGGUUAAUAUAUAAACACACUUAACCUUUCCUCUCCAUUUCACUCUGAUCCGAUCUCCUCUCUGUCUCCCGCCUCUCCUCUCUUUCUCCCUGUGGUCUCUCCUCUCCGCCUCUCCCUCGCCGUGUCCCGCCUCUCUCCGCCCUCUCCCCGCCUCUCCUUCUUCCCUUGGUCUCUCCCCUCCGCCUCUCCCUUGCCGUGUCCUCUCUCCUCCGCCUCUCCCUCACCGUGUAUUUUCUCUCUCCGCCGCUCCCCGCCUCUCCCCGCCUCUCCUUCUCCCCGUGGUCGCUCCUCCCCGCCUCUCCCUUGCCGUGCCCUCUCUCCUCCGCCUCUCCCGCGCCGUGUACUCUCUCUCUCCGCCUCUCCUUCUCGCCGCUGCCUCGCCGGAUCUUCGCCUCAGCCUUGCCGGAUCUCUCUCCUCACCGUGUAUUUUCUCUCUCCGCCGCUCCCCGCCUCUCCCCGCCUCUCCUUCUCGCCGCUGCCUCGCCGGAUCUUCGCCUCAGCCUUGCCGGAUCUCUCUC
RNAcentral lists this long non-coding RNA (829 nucleotides) under Brassica napus (rape). RNAcentral's name for it is "long non-coding RNA (BNAP_LNC013786)". The record is from RNAcentral. Lineage: Eukaryota; Viridiplantae; Streptophyta; Magnoliopsida; Brassicales; Brassicaceae.